GAUGAACGCUGGCGGCGUGCCUAAUACAUGCAAGUCGAGCGAACAGAUGAGGAGCUUGCUCCUCUGACGUUAGCGGCGGACGGGUGAGUAACACGUGGAUAACCUACCUAUAAGACUGGGAUAACUUCGGGAAACCGGAGCUAAUACCGGAUAAUAUAUUGAACCGCAUGGUUCAAUAGUGAAAGACGGUUUUGCUGUCACUUAUAGAUGGAUCCGCGCCGCAUUAGCUAGUUGGUAAGGUAACGGCUUACCAAGGCAACGAUGCGUAGCCGACCUGAGAGGGUGAUCGGCCACACUGGACCUGAGACACGGUCCAGACUCUGACGGGAGGCAGCAGUAGGGAAUCUUCCGCAAUGGGCGAAAGCCUGACGGAGCAACGCCGCGUGAGUGAUGAAGGUCUUCGGAUCGUAAAACUCUGUUAUUAGGGAAGAACAAAUGUGUAAGUAACUAUGCACGUCUUGACGGUACCUAAUCAGAAAGCCACGGCUAACUACGU
Molecule: ribosomal RNA, 496 nt
Filed under: uncultured bacterium
Lineage: Bacteria
Description: partial 16S ribosomal RNA
Rfam family: Bacterial small subunit ribosomal RNA
Source: RNAcentral